Arachis duranensis is the source of this 1211-nucleotide long non-coding RNA. RefSeq lists it as uncharacterized. The record is from RefSeq and is a predicted model, not a curated record. Lineage: Eukaryota; Viridiplantae; Streptophyta; Magnoliopsida; Fabales; Fabaceae. The transcript has 6 exons.
UUCAACAUUAGAGUUCUUUUCUUUUGCUGAUUGCUUCAAGUAUUAAUUUUUUUGGUCGCUUUUGUCUUGCUGUUUAGGUUUCACACAUAUACAAACGAGUUGUAGCUUAAAGUGUUGUCGUAAAUGGUUCUGUAAUUGGCGGGUAAAAAUAGGAAAAAUUGGAAGAGCUUGAGACAAUAGAUAAUGUUUCAGUCAUAUGCAUAGAUUUGCUGCAAAACGUGGAAAGUACGAGUAUAAUUGUACUUUUUGAUGAAUGAAUCCUUGGUUUCGUUGUUAAAGAUUGUUCAUGAAGUAAGGCUGAAUUUGUUGUUUGUGGCAUCACUUGGAUUCUUUAAAUAUGGGUUUGUGACAAAUUUAUUAACUUCUCUUUAUGUUAUCCCAAUUUGAAACAUUUUUAUAUAGUUGUGGUUGUUUGGAAUAUUGGGUAAUCACUAAAAAUUGUGCAGUAUCUGUGAAAAUACAUGACUAAGGUAAUUAGCAACUAGAUUGUUUGAAAAUUUACUUGGCUAACAUUAUGUAUUGUUACUUCUGAAAUGGAGCUUCAACUGAUAGUAAGCUAGAGAUCUUCAGGUACCAGUCUUUAUUCAAUGAAUUGAAGCACCAUAUAUUUUUUUAGUACAUCUAUUUUUUUCCUGUUUAAUCAAAAUGGUUGACUUAACUGUGCAAAUGAAAAAAUUUACUAUUUCAAUAUUACUUAACAAAAGCAUUAAACCUGACCAAUUCAUACUACCUGUCCUCUUUUGUUUUUCUAUAAACUUAAUUGAGGGUUUUGUUUUCUGUUUCCAAUUUACAGGUGACGAUGAAUUCGAUAAGUUUUAUUUCCAAAAGAAGUACAUUGAAGAUGGAGCAUGAAAAAAGUGAUUUUGAUGUCAACGAUUAUGGUGAGGAGGAUAAGGAGAAACAAGGAGAAGAGGGAAAAAAUCGAGAUGAGGGAACAGUUGAGGAAGACCAAAGUGGAUGGAAUAAUGAUGAGAUGGAAUAACUUGAGAAAGUGUAUAAGGAUCUUCAAAUUAGUUUUGGAUUUUUAAGUGAGGAGUUACUACACUUUUUAAUACAAUUUUUCAGUGAUAGGUGGUAGUAGUAUGCAGUGAGAGUGGUUCCCACUUUUCGGCAACCAGUUGGGUUGAGAUUGUAGCUGAAGAUUUGAAGUUUAUCAUGAAAGUCAGACUAGAUUGGAAAGGAGAUUUUGGAAGUCCAGAGAAGCAGGGGUG